Molecule: ribosomal RNA, 279 nt
Filed under: uncultured bacterium
Lineage: Bacteria
Description: partial 16S ribosomal RNA
Rfam family: Bacterial small subunit ribosomal RNA
Source: RNAcentral
UGCCAGCCGCCGCGGUAAUACGGAAGGUGCGAGCGUUAAUCGGAAUCACUGGGCAUAAAGCGCACGUAGGCGGCCAAGUCCGUCUGAUGUGAAAGCCCCCGGCUCAACCGGGGAACUGCAUCGGAAACUGCUUGGCUUGAGGAUGGUUGGGGUGAGUGGAACUCCUGGUGGAGCGGUGAAAUGCGUAGAUAUCAGGAGGAACACCAGUGGCGAAAGCGGCUCACUGGACCAAUACUGACGCCGAGAUGCGAAAGCGUGGGGAGCAAACGGGAUUAGAUA